Molecule: ribosomal RNA, 160 nt
Filed under: Saxifraga cherlerioides
Lineage: Eukaryota; Viridiplantae; Streptophyta; Magnoliopsida; Saxifragales; Saxifragaceae
Description: 5.8S ribosomal RNA
Rfam family: 5.8S ribosomal RNA
About the family: 5.8S ribosomal RNA (5.8S rRNA) is a component of the large subunit of the eukaryotic ribosome.
Source: RNAcentral
AUGACUCUCGGCAACGGAUAUCUCGGCUCUUACAUCGAUGAAGAACGUAGCAAAAUGCGAUACUUGGUGUGAAUUGCAGAAUCCCGUGAACCAUCGAGUCUUUGAACGCAAGUUGCGCCCGAAUCCUUUCGGUCGAGGGCACGUCUGCCUGGGUGUCACG